RNAcentral lists this unclassified non-coding RNA (330 nucleotides) under soil metagenome. Its description in RNAcentral is "partial contains 5.8S ribosomal RNA, internal transcribed spacer 2, and large subunit ribosomal RNA". The stretch from base 1 to 121 matches the Rfam family "5.8S ribosomal RNA", at positions 35 to 154 of the family's 154-position model. The record is from RNAcentral.
GAUGAAGAACGUAGCGAAAUGCGAUAAGUAAUGCGAAUUGCAGAAUUUCCGUGAGCCAUCGAAUCUUUGAACGCACAUUGCGCCCCCUGGUAUUCCGGGGGGCAUGCCUGUCCGAGCGUCAUUACAACCCUCAAGCUCAGCUUGGUGUUGGGCCCCGCCGCCCCGGCGGGCCCUAAAGUCAGUGGCGGUGCCGUCCGGCUCCGAGCGUAGUAAUUCUUCUCGCUCUGGAGGUCCGGUCGUGUGCUCGCCAGCAACCCCCAAUUUUUUUCAGGUUGACCUCGGAUCAGGUAGGGAUACCCGCUGAACUUAAGCAUAUCAAUAAGCGGAGGA